GACUGGCUGGUCUAGCGGAAUGACGCUCCUUUUCGUCGCUUCUGCGAUGUAACUUUGUUAACCGGAGAAGUGUGGGUUCGAAUCCUGCGCCGGUCU
This is a non-coding RNA of Auriculariales sp. MPI-PUGE-AT-0066, 96 nucleotides long. Lineage: Eukaryota; Fungi; Basidiomycota; Agaricomycetes; Auriculariales. The record is from the annotation of a GenBank genome assembly.